Molecule: ribosomal RNA, 848 nt
Filed under: Gammarus nekkensis
Lineage: Eukaryota; Metazoa; Arthropoda; Malacostraca; Amphipoda; Gammaridae
Description: partial large subunit ribosomal RNA
Source: RNAcentral
UUUACAAUGAAAAUAACCCUGUGGGCUUUCUUAUAUAGUAGAUUAAAAUUACAGGUAAAGAAGAUUUGUAAAUUAUACCUUUUGUAUCAGGGGAAUUUUAAAUUAUAAUAAUAAGGUAAUCGAAGGGAAUGGACCCUUUUUGUUAAGGUUUUAGUUGCAUUUAAAUCUGUAAAUAAUUAAGAGGUGAAAAAUGUACGACAUUUUUGGUAUCUAAUUGUUUUUUUUAUGAGGGGUUAAGCUUUUAUAGAUCUAAUAUAGAGGUAUAUAAAAAAGAACUAAGCUUUAAAUUAGCUAUGUUAAUAGAUUGUUUUAAGUAAUUUUUAAAGACUCUUGAUAUUAGAGUUAAACAGGCAAUAUUUAAGUAUUUUAAUAUGUAUAAAUAAUGAAUUUAUUGAAUAAAGAGCAAAAAUUGAAAAUAACUCAUGGAAGCUAGAAAGUUUAGCAAAAACAUUUCUGUUUGAUUAAUUAAAAGUAAAACCUGCCCAGUGAAAAUUAAACGGCUGCGGUAUUUUAACUGUGCUAAGGUAGCAUAAUAAUUUGUUAUUUAAUUGAUAACUGGAAUGAAAGGUUAAACUAGUUUAUUUAGUUUGUAAAUUUUAUUAGGAUAUUUAAGUUUAGGUAAUAAUUCCUUAAUAUUUUAGGGGACGAUAAGACCCUAAAAGCUUAAUAAUUAGUUUUUUAUUAAUUAUAAAAUUAAAUUUGUUUUACUGGGGCGGUAUUAGUAAUUAAACUUUUAUUUUGUUGGUAGAUCCUUUUUAUAAAGAAGUAACGGAUAAGUUACUUUAGGGAUAACAGUGUAAUAUAAUUAAAGAGAUCUUAUCGAUAAAUAUGAUUGCAACCUCGAUGUU